Molecule: ribosomal RNA, 386 nt
Filed under: Trachypithecus auratus pyrrhus
Lineage: Eukaryota; Metazoa; Chordata; Mammalia; Primates; Cercopithecidae
Description: 12S ribosomal RNA
Rfam family: Bacterial small subunit ribosomal RNA
Source: RNAcentral
GCUUAGCCCUAAACUUCAAUAGUUAAAAUAACAAAACUACUCGCCAGAACACUACAAGCAACAGCUUAAAAAUCAAAGGACUUGGCGGUGCUCCAUACCCCCUAGAGGAGCCUGUUCUAUAAUCGAUAAACCCCGAUCCACCCUACCAUCUCUCGCUCAGCCUAUAUACCGCCAUCUUCAGCAAACCUCAACAAGAGAUAUGAAGUAAGCACAAAUGCCCACGCAAAAACGUUAGGUCAAGGUGUAGCCUAUGAGCUGGGAAAAAAUGGGCUACAUUUUCUAUUACAGAAAAUCUACGAUAACUCUUAUGAAACUUAAGAGUCCAAGGAGGAUUUAGCAGUAAACUAAGAAUAGAGUGCUUAGUUGAACUAGGCCAUGAAGCAUGC